CAUUAUUAUUAUCUUACUAUUAGGUCUUCUACUCAUCACCCAAUCUAUUUGCUCUUCUACCCAACGUCUCUCUCUCUCUCUCUCUCUCUCUCUCUCUCUCAUAUACCUGAAAACAUACGAGGAACAUGAAAAUUGGAAAUUAUUAUAAGAUUAGUUUUGUAUGACUGAAAUUGGUGACAAAUGAACAUAUCCCAGAAUCCCUCCGCUGAAGAACAGAAGAUCUUAUUUCUUUCUGGAUUCAUCUAUCUACAGGUUUCAUUUAUUGAAGCAUAUGGUGGGGGCAAAUGAGUCAAUACGACAUACAAGAUUGAAGAUGAUAUCAUAUGGGAUAAAUUUGUAGUAAAACCAUGAUAAGAGAAAUUACUGAAAAAGAUUAUUAAAUACACAAGAAUCAAGAUACAUUAGAUAGAUUACAAGGAGGAUUGAAUUAAACAGCUAAUCACAAAAUGUAUAUAUAUAUAUAAAUUGUACAAAAUACAAGAGAUAGUGGAAGCAUUAGUUAAUUUUAAGCCA
Lactuca sativa (garden lettuce) is the source of this 513-nucleotide long non-coding RNA. RefSeq lists it as uncharacterized. The record is from RefSeq and is a predicted model, not a curated record. NCBI's taxonomy places the organism in Eukaryota, Viridiplantae, Streptophyta, Magnoliopsida, Asterales, Asteraceae.